This 390-nucleotide ribosomal RNA is filed under the name uncultured bacterium. RNAcentral's name for it is "bacterial SSU rRNA". It matches the Rfam family "Bacterial small subunit ribosomal RNA", at positions 28 to 417 of the family's 1533-position model. The record is from RNAcentral.
GACGAACGCUGGCGGCGUGCUUAACACAUGCAAGUCGAGCGGUAAGGCCCUUUCGGGGUACGACGAGCGGCGAACGGGUGAGUAACACGUGGGUGACCUGCCUUCAGCUCUGGGAUAAGCCUGGGAAACGUAGGGUCGUAAUACCGGAUAUGACUCCAUGAUGCAUGUUGUGGGGUGGAAAGCUUUUGCGGCUGGAGAUGGGCCCGCGGCCUAUCAGCUUGUUGGUGGGGUGAUGGCCUACCAAGGCGACGACGGGUAGCCGGCCUGAGAGGGCGACCGGCCACACUGGGACUGAGACACGGCCCAGACUCCUACGGGAGGCAGCAGUGGGGAAUCUUGCGCAAUGGGCGAAAGCCUGACGCAGCGACGCCGCGUGAGGGAUGACGGCCU